UACGAAGGGGGCUAGCGUUGCUCGGAAUCACUGGGUGUAAAGGGUGCGUAGGCGGGUCUUUAAGUCAGGGGGGAAAUCCUGGAGCUCAACUCCAGAACUGCCUUUGAUACUGAAGAUCUUGAGUUCUGGAGAGGUGAGUGGAACUGCGAGUGUAGAGGUGAAAUUCGUAGAUAUUCGCAAGAACACCAGUGGCGAAGGCGGCUCACUGGCCCGAUACUGACGCUGAGGCACGAAAGCGUGGGGAGCAAACAGG
This 253-nucleotide ribosomal RNA is filed under the name uncultured bacterium. RNAcentral's name for it is "partial 16S ribosomal RNA". It matches the Rfam family "Bacterial small subunit ribosomal RNA", at positions 524 to 776 of the family's 1533-position model. The record is from RNAcentral.